Molecule: long non-coding RNA, 1103 nt
Filed under: Apis mellifera (honey bee)
Lineage: Eukaryota; Metazoa; Arthropoda; Insecta; Hymenoptera; Apidae
Description: uncharacterized LOC100577215, transcript variant X1
Source: RNAcentral
GAAACAUUGUGAAUUUCCAUGGCAGCAUUGGACGCGACCAUUGAACACGGAUCGUCGAUCGAGUCGUCUACCAAGAGAGUGGGUCAAGGUGGCCGUCUUCGUGAUCUCCUUAGUUCCGCGUUCUACUGGCGGGUUUCGUUCAUUCGUUUAUUCGGUGAAUAUGGAUAGUGUGUGCAUCGACAUGUAUACACGCGUGUUCCUUCACUUAUAUGUAUGUGCGACACGAUUGUAUGUAGGUACGGAUAUAACCUAUGUGCCGCGUCAUCAACCACUGCGAACCUACACCGUCAUCAGAAGCGAAAGAUGCUGGCGUCGCCAAAUCUUCCCUUUCUCCACCUUCUAUACGCGGCGAGAGUAAACGUGACGUCACAAGCUUAAAGCUGCUAGACGAAAUGAGAAGAACCGAUUGAUUCGUCCUUUUCGUUUCGUUUAUCUUCGUACUCUCCUUACUCGAAAGUUGUCUAUAUAAGUGAUGAAGAAUCUUGGACUCAAUGAAGGAAUGAAUUAUUAUUGGUACUGUUACUGAUGGUUGCAUAUAUUCUUGAAGCAUUUUGAAGGAAUUGUUAUUUUUGUGAUAUUUUCUUAGACUUUAAUCCGAGGCCUAACCUAAAUAUUUUUUUGAGAUAUUACAGAAAAAAAUUAUUUUUAUUAUUAUAAAUAUCUAUGACCGCCUAUUGUAAUAUCUUUAUGCAUUGUUAUAUAUAAUCAAUGAAAUGACAUCAUACCACCAACAUAGCAAUGCAAACAUAAGAACAAUCUUGAUAUUAUCAUACGUGUGUGGUCUGUGAUAAUUUAUAAUCGUGAUAUCAAUCCCUCGAAAGAAAUACGAUUAAUAGUUGUAAACAAGAUGUAAGAAAACAAUUCAUUAUACACUGGAAACAUUUUAACAUCUCCUACUGAAAGAUUCGAAACAUUUAUAUAAGAUCCGAGACUCUUAUAUACACUUGCCACUGUUUAUCUAAAAUUUACCGACACACAAAAGGUAGGUGAACGAGAUGAUGCACGUACAGAACAGAAUCGUUAUGUACUUACAUUACAUACGACCACUGAUGGAAGAGGCAGUAGCGUCCACGUCACUCGGUAAGGGGGUGUCAUAGAGGAAA